GGGAUUUCUAUGAAAAUAAGCGAUAUUUAAGGUUAAAAACAGGGAUUUCUAUGAAAAUAAGCGAUAUUUAAGGUGAAAAACAGGGAUUUCUAUGAAAAUAAGCGAUAUUUAAGGUUAAAAACAGGGAUUUCUAUGAAAAUAAGCGAUAUUUAAGGUGAAAAACAGGGAUUUCUAUGAAAAUAAGCGAUAUUUAAGGUUAAAAACAGGGAUUUCUAUGAAAAUAAGCGAUAUUUAAGGUGAAAAACAGGGAUUUCUAUGAAAAUAAGCGAUAUUUAAGGUUAAAAACAGGGAUUUCUAUGAAAAUAAGCGAUAUUUAAGGUUAAAAACAGGGAUUUCUAUGAAAAUAAGCGAUAUUUAAGGUUAAAAACAGGGAUUUUUAUGAAAAUAAGCGAUAUUUAAGGUUAAAAACAGGGAUUUCUAUGAAAAUAAGCGAUAUUUAAGGUGAAAAACAGGGAUUUCUAUGAAAAUAAGCGAUAUUUAAGGUGAAAAACAGGGAUUUCCAUGAAAAUAAGCGAUAUUUAAGGUGAAAAACAGGGAUUUCCAUGAAAAUAAGCGAUAUUUCAGGGGAAAAACAGGGAUUUCUAUGAAAAUAAGAGAUAUUUAAGG
This is a long non-coding RNA of Lagopus muta (rock ptarmigan), 606 nucleotides long. RefSeq lists it as uncharacterized. NCBI's taxonomy places the organism in Eukaryota, Metazoa, Chordata, Aves, Galliformes, Phasianidae. The record is from RefSeq and is a predicted model, not a curated record. The transcript is spliced from 4 exons.